GUAGUCUGCAACUCGACUACAUGAAGCUGGAAUCGCUAGUAAUCGCGAAUCAGAAUGUCGCGGUGAAUACGUUCCCGGGUCUUGUACACACCGCCCGUCACACCAUGGGAGUCAGUAACGCCCGAAGCCGGUGACCUAACCGAAAGGGAGGAGCCGUCGAAGGUGGGACCGAUAACUGGGGUGAAGUCGUAACAAGGUACC
This 201-nucleotide ribosomal RNA is filed under the name uncultured bacterium. RNAcentral describes it as "partial 16S ribosomal RNA". It matches the Rfam family "Bacterial small subunit ribosomal RNA", at positions 1300 to 1500 of the family's 1533-position model. The record is from RNAcentral.